AUCUUACCCCCAGAGACUUUAUGUACACUGUUAAAUAUGAGAGAGCGAUGAUUCUCUCAUCUGAUGAAUUAAAUGUCAACUCUGAUACUCCCGUUGGCAAGAAGAAUCUUGUCAACAACUUUGGAUUCCUGAGCUGUUCUCAAGCAUUUGUCUUCAGAGUUACUAGGCUAAUACUUGGAGACUACUUCAACACAUGACAUCAUUAUCACGGUAGCCAGGCGCAACAGGCGAAACCAGAGGACACAGCACAGUGGCGAGGUCUAUAAGGAAAGCCAACAACACAAGGAAAGUAGAUGCACGUGCAGCUUCAGGAUGGACAGACAUGGAGUGGUAGAGACCCACCUAGCCAGGCAGAUCAAUGGAACCAACCCUGUGCUCAUCGGAUUGAGAGAUGUCACAGCUAUAGUCAGGAGUUCUGGGAGCAGAGCUACCAUCUAGAAACAAGGCAGCAAUCAGCCACAAACCACCAUGGCAUCUCAUGACUUCCCUGGUGCUUAGAUGUUCAUUUGCUGGGGAUUUGGGGAUUUUCUGGUGCUAAAAGAAAUGUUUCCCUUUUCUUUGAAGGAGACUCUAACUUAAUAAAUAAAAUAUUUAAAUAUUUCCUUUUGUAGAUUAUUUGCAUUGUGAGAAAAGCCUGUUUCUGCUUGCAGCUGAGUUCCUGGAUACCUUCUGCCUUUGUGUAAAUGCACACAUUGUUUGCCUGGUGACUAAUGUGAUCCCCUUUAUUUAGCACUCACAGAUUUUCUUUUUUGGUUCUUUUUUUUUUUUUCCGGAGCUGGGGACCAAACCCAGGGCCUUGCGCUUCCUAGG
RNAcentral lists this small RNA (810 nucleotides) under Rattus norvegicus (Norway rat). RNAcentral's name for it is "uncharacterized LOC102554768". The record is from RNAcentral. Lineage: Eukaryota; Metazoa; Chordata; Mammalia; Rodentia; Muridae.